Molecule: ribosomal RNA, 253 nt
Filed under: uncultured bacterium
Lineage: Bacteria
Description: partial 16S ribosomal RNA
Rfam family: Bacterial small subunit ribosomal RNA
Source: RNAcentral
UACGUAGGGGGCAAGCGUUGUCCGGAAUCAUUGGGCGUAAAGAGCGUGUAGGCGGCUCGAUAAGUCUGCUGUGAAAGUCCAGGGCUCAACCCUGGAAGGCCGGUGGAAACUGUCGGGCUAGAGUCCGGAAGAGGCGGGUGGAAUUCCCGGUGUAGCGGUGAAAUGCGCAGAUAUCGGGAGGAACACCAAUGGCGAAGGCAGCUCGCUGGGACGGUACUGACGCUGAGACGCGAAAGCGUGCGGAGCAAACAGG